GAGCUUCUGACGCACUGUAUUCCUCCUGAGGUAAUCAUGAAGGUAAGUGGCUCCAUUCUGCAUCCUAACUUACAGAGCUAAGACGUGGACAGCACCCAUGUGGUCAGAGCCUUCCCAGUGCUGAGGGCCGCACGUCUGUAACAUUUCGUUAGCUCUGCAGAGGGUGACUCCUCUCUGUUGGGUGCCAGGCACCAGUAGGGGCCACUGAAGAAGGGAGGGAAGACCUCAGUUGUGACAGUAUGUUCUAGGGAGUGACCUGGGAGACAAGAGAAGACAAUUCCAGACUGUUGUGUGUCUGUAAAGGAAAGAAAAUGAAAGUACCAGUGGGACCCCGUCAUGCACAGCCAAGGAGAGGGAAAGGCCUUUUCUGCUGGUUUCAGAGCUGGGAUGGAGCUCUGUAAGUGCCUGGGGAACAGGCACUCCCGGGACGACACGGCAUGUGCAGAAUGAGGCUAAAGAUAUGGGAUAGUCUCGGCUUUGUACAAUUGGCUGACUGGCCUCUUAGCAAAAUUUACCGACUUGCAAUAUUAGGCCAUUCAUAGGGUUUUGCUUGUUUCUAUUAAAAUUGCACAGUAAUGUGAACAAAUCAUAUUAUACUAAAUACACAAAGAAAAAUGUGCUCUUUUGUAUACAGAAGUUAACACUUUGCAUUAGUAGCAUCUUUCACCUAACGUGCCGUGUGUGUUCAUGCGUGCGUGCGUGAACAAAUCAUAUUAUACUAAA
This 723-nucleotide long non-coding RNA is filed under the name Rattus norvegicus (Norway rat). Its description in RNAcentral is "long non-coding RNA NONRATT007209". Lineage: Eukaryota; Metazoa; Chordata; Mammalia; Rodentia; Muridae. The record is from RNAcentral.